RNAcentral lists this ribosomal RNA (433 nucleotides) under uncultured bacterium. RNAcentral describes it as "partial 16S ribosomal RNA". It matches the Rfam family "Bacterial small subunit ribosomal RNA", at positions 29 to 507 of the family's 1533-position model. The record is from RNAcentral.
AACGAACGCUGGCGGCAUGCCUAACACAUGCAAGUCGAACGAGACCUUCGGGUCUAGUGGCGCACGGGUGCGUAACGCGUGGGAACCUGCCCUUAGGUUCGGAAUAACUCCCCGAAAGGGGUGCUAAUACCGGAUAAUGUCUUCGGACCAAAGAUUUAUCGCCUUUGGAGGGGCCCGCGUUGGAUUAGCUAGUUGGUAGGGUAAAAGCCUACCAAGGCGACGAUCCAUAGCUGGUCUGAGAGGAUGAUCAGCCACACUGGGACUGAGACACGGCCCAGACUCCUACGGGAGGCAGCAGUGGGGAAUAUUGGACAAUGGGCGAAAGCCUGACCCAGCAAUGCCGCGUGAGUGAUGAAGGCCUUAGGGUUGUAAAGCUCUUUUACCCGGGAUGAUAAUGACAGUACCGGGAGAAUAAGCUCCGGCUAACUCCGUG